GGAGAGGUGCCAGAGUGGUUGAUCGGGACGGUCUCGAAAACCGUUUCCCGCUUAAAAGCGGGACGUGGGUUCGAAUCCCACCCUCUCCGCCA
This 92-nucleotide transfer RNA is filed under the name Candidatus Jettenia caeni. RNAcentral's name for it is "tRNA-Ser". It matches the Rfam family "tRNA". From Rfam's summary of the family: Transfer RNA (tRNA) molecules are approximately 80 nucleotides in length. Their secondary structure includes four short double-helical elements and three loops (D, anti-codon, and T loops). Lineage: Bacteria; Pseudomonadati; Planctomycetota; Candidatus Brocadiia; Candidatus Brocadiales; Candidatus Brocadiaceae. The record is from RNAcentral. RNAcentral also lists the same sequence under 4 other names.